Molecule: ribosomal RNA, 791 nt
Filed under: uncultured archaeon
Lineage: Archaea
Description: bacterial SSU rRNA
Rfam family: Archaeal small subunit ribosomal RNA
Source: RNAcentral
ACGGCUCAGUAACACGUAGUCAACAUGCCCAGGGGACGUGGAUAACCUCGGGAAACUGAGGAUAAACCGCGAUAAGUCACUACUUCUGGAAUGGGUAAUGACUCAAAUCUAUAUGGCCCCUGGAUUGGACUGCGGCCGAUCAGGCUGUUGGUGAGGUAAUGGCCCACCAAACCUGUAACCGGUACGGGCUCUGAGAGGAGGAGCCCGGAGAUGGGCACUGAGACAAGGGCCCAGGCCCUAUGGGGCGCAGCAGGCGCGAAACCUCUGCAAUAGGCGAAAGCUUGACAGGGUUACUCUGAGUGAUUUCCGUUAAGGAAAUCUUUUGGCACCUCUAAAAAUGGUGCAGAAUAAGGGGUGGGCAAGUCUGGUGUCAGCCGCCGCGGUAAUACCAGCACCCCGAGUGGUCGGGACGUUUAUUGGGCCUAAAGCAUCCGUAGCCGGUUCUACAAGUCUUCCGUUAAAUCCAACUGCUUAACAGGUGGGCUGCGGAAGAUACUAUAGAGCUAGGAGGCGGGAGAGGCAAGCGGUACUCGAUGGGUAGGGGUAAAAUCCGUUGAUCCAUUGAAGACCACCAGUGGCGAAGGCGGCUUGCCAGAACGCGCUCGACGGUGAGGGAUGAAAGCUGGGGGAGCAAACCGGAUUAGAUACCCGGGUAGUCCCAGCUGUAAACGAUGCAGACUCGGUGAUGAGUUGGCUAUAUGCCAACUCAGUGCCGCAGGGAAGCCGUUAAGUUUGCCGCCUGGGGAGUACGGCCGCAAGACUGAAACUUAAAGGAAUUGGCGGGGGAGCAC